RNAcentral lists this ribosomal RNA (332 nucleotides) under uncultured eukaryote. Its description in RNAcentral is "partial 18S ribosomal RNA". It matches the Rfam family "Eukaryotic small subunit ribosomal RNA", at positions 1470 to 1796 of the family's 1831-position model. The record is from RNAcentral.
CCCUUAGAUGUUCUGGGCCGCACGCGCGCUACACUGUUCGACGCAGCGAGUCUUAACCUUGACCGAAAGGUUUGGGUAAUCUUCAGCAAAGUCGAACGUGAUGGGGAUCGAUCAUUGCAAUUAUUGAUCGUGAACGAGGAAUCCCUAGUAAGUGCAAGUCAUCAGCUUGCGCUGAUUACGUCCCUGCCCUUUGUACACACCGCCCGUCGCUACUACCGAUUGAAUGGUUUAGUGAGAUCUCUGGAUUGACGCUGGCUAGGGGGCGACCCUUGGCCAGACUGCUCGAGAAACUGCUCAAACUUGAUCAUUUAGAGGAAGUAAAAGUCGUAACA